AUUGAACGCUGGCGGCAGGCCUAACACAUGCAAGUCGAGCGAAGUGGCGAACGGGUGAGUCACACGCGGGUAACCUGCCCUCCUUUUUGGGAUCAGACUUGGAAACGGGGUCUAAUACCGCAUAAAGGGGGAUGGGCUCGCGGCCUAUCAGCUUGUUGGUGGGGUGAUGGCCUACAAAGGCGGUGACGGGUAGCCGGCCUGAGCGGGUGACAUGCCAUAGUGUGGCUGAGAUACGGCCCAGCCUCGUACGGGAUGCAGCAGUGGGGGAUAUGGCGCAAUGGGCGAAAGCCUGAUGCAGCGACGCCGCGUGGGGGAUGAAGGCUUUCGGGUUGUAAACCUCUUUCGCUAUCGAACGGGUAUGGGGAGAAGUAGCGCCGGCUAACUACGUGCCAGCAGCCGCGGUAAUUC
This 408-nucleotide ribosomal RNA is filed under the name uncultured bacterium. RNAcentral describes it as "partial 16S ribosomal RNA". It matches the Rfam family "Bacterial small subunit ribosomal RNA", at positions 28 to 526 of the family's 1533-position model. The record is from RNAcentral.